UGGCGAGAUCAGCUCCAUUCACCUCUUCAUUCGGCAGCUGCUUUUUUGAACCCAAGUGUCCAGUACAAUCCUGAGAUAAAAUUUCUCGUAUCUAUUAAAGAAGACUUUUUCAAGGUUAUUGAGAAACUGCUUCCUACUCCUGAAAUGAGACGUGACAUCACUAAUCAGAUUUUUAUUUUUACAAGGGCAAGUGGAAUGUUUGGUUGCAAUUUAGCAAUGGAGGCGCG
This 227-nucleotide unclassified non-coding RNA is filed under the name Hevea brasiliensis (rubber tree). The record is from RNAcentral. Lineage: Eukaryota; Viridiplantae; Streptophyta; Magnoliopsida; Malpighiales; Euphorbiaceae.